GAGGAAAUGCUUAAGAAAAUACAGCUUCUUGUUAGUCCUUCGCUGUCAAGGUUAGAAGUAAUGCAAAUUUAUAUGAUAAGUUCUAUUUAAUUUCUCUUUACUAAAUAUAUAAACUAUGUAGCAUUUGCUAUCUAACUUUGCAUUUUUUUAAUAAUGUAGCAGAGAAAGAACUCCAACAACUCCAACAGAGUGCCAACUUUAGGUAUAUUUCUAUUUCACCUACUAAAACUUCAUGUUUAACGAGAUUUUAUAGUUUAUACCAAAUCUGUUAUUUAUAUUAUAAUAGAUAAGUACCUUGAAAUAUAUAUUACUAUAGUUUUUCA
RNAcentral lists this long non-coding RNA (323 nucleotides) under Capsicum annuum. RNAcentral's name for it is "long non-coding RNA (CANN_LNC015167)". Lineage: Eukaryota; Viridiplantae; Streptophyta; Magnoliopsida; Solanales; Solanaceae. The record is from RNAcentral.